AUCCAACUGACGAGUCUCAAAUAAGACGAAACGCUCGUCUUGAAU
This 45-nucleotide non-coding RNA is filed under the name Schistosoma mattheei. Lineage: Eukaryota; Metazoa; Platyhelminthes; Trematoda; Strigeidida; Schistosomatidae. The record is from RNAcentral.